Non-coding RNA from Lentinula lateritia, 86 nucleotides. The record is from the annotation of a GenBank genome assembly. Lineage: Eukaryota; Fungi; Basidiomycota; Agaricomycetes; Agaricales; Omphalotaceae.
UGCCCCAUGGCUGAGUUGGUUACAGCGUCCGACUGUUAGCACAUACCGCAAUCGGAAGGUCGAGAGUUCGAGCCUCUCUGGGGCAG